Passer domesticus (house sparrow) is the source of this 1328-nucleotide long non-coding RNA. RefSeq lists it as uncharacterized. The transcript is spliced from 4 exons. The record is from RefSeq and is a predicted model, not a curated record. Lineage: Eukaryota; Metazoa; Chordata; Aves; Passeriformes; Passeridae.
AAGGAAAACAAUUAGGAAGUAGUGAAGGCACCUGGAGCACAGAUGCAGUUGUCUCAGUAAAUUACACAGGUGUGAGGGCCUGACCUGUGUUAGUUCACUGCUUGGGAGAUCUGCGGUGUCCCUUAAAUAUGAAUCCAGCUUCAGCACAAGCAGAGUUUAUUUCUUUCCUUCUGGAAGAGAUUAUGGAACUAUCUCUGCUAAACUUGAAGAGAGUAUGAGGAAGAGGAUGAGCCUCUGUGUUGAAGACCCAGUGUUCAAAUGGAAGAAGAUCAUCUUCAGAAAACAGCAAAUACAGGAGUAACAAUAGCCUUUCUCUCCCAAUCUCCCAGCCUUUGGAAAUUGUGUUACUUAUACCUCUUCUGGUCAUAUUUUGCUACUUGAAAUGAUUGUGACAUAAUUGAACACCAUACUAAAGAUCAGUCUUCUCCUUACCUCCUGCAAAUCCCUUCAAGAAAAGGAACAGCAACGCUCAAUUUUCUGUUACACAGAGCCAGAAAAAUAAUGUUCUUCAGCAUGCUGUACUUCCUAUCAGAUGUCAGCUAAUUUAGCAAGGGCAACAUCAGUGUGAGGAGGACAGAAGUGAACUCCAGAGAAGUGUGUAAUAAGGACCCAUACCUGGAGGAUGAAACAAGGUAAAUCUAAAGGCUCUCAGCCUUACGAGUAAGAGAGAUUAACUGCUGAAAAAAGGGAAACAAUGGAUUUGGCAAGCUCAUUCUUUGCAGUGCAGACAAGCUGCCCUUUUGCAAGGCUUGUGCUAGACAAACACAAAUAGCUAGGUUCAGCAUCACUGCUUGAAGCUCAAAGGCCAGUGGGACAAAAAAAAUUCAAAUCUAGAAGAGAUUAUUGUUUUUUAGGGAGUUUUGUCGAUGUAAUUUAUGUUUCUUGAAAGUAACAUGGUUUUAUGUUCGGUACUAUGCAGUCCUUCAUCCUGGCCUUUGCCACCUUAAUUAAAAUCACCUUCAUAGUAUUAAUUUAAUAAAACUUAUCUCCAUAUCCAAGGCUCAAAUCUGACACAUGUAUGUACUUUCCAUUCACAUGCAGCAACACUCAACAUCUGGGACAGUACAUGCAAAUGUCACCCCUAAUCCUAGAAGUAUUUAAGAUGGAGAAAUAACAAGGUGCUUUUCUGUUAUACAAUAUCAGCAAUUUUUGGUUUUGUCAAAAUGUCAUCUAUUUGGCAAAUGAAUUCCUGGAAAUCUGAAUUGAUAUGCCUAAUUUAAAAUAAAUAUUCAGCUUCCAACUGCUGAACAAUGUCCAGGUAUCAUUCAAUAGCUCACUUAACAACAUUACUAGGAUUUGACAACAAAAAAGUCCAAUAGAACAUUACC